This 497-nucleotide ribosomal RNA is filed under the name uncultured bacterium. RNAcentral's name for it is "partial 16S ribosomal RNA". It matches the Rfam family "Bacterial small subunit ribosomal RNA", at positions 28 to 507 of the family's 1533-position model. The record is from RNAcentral.
GACGAACGCUGGCGGCGUGCCUAAUACAUGCAAGUAGAACGCUGAAGAGAGGAGCUUGCUCUUCUUGGAUGAGUUGCGAACGGGUGAGUAACGCGUAGGUAACCUGCCUUGUAGCGGGGGAUAACUAUUGGAAACGAUAGCUAAUACCGCAUAACAAUGGAUGACACAUGUCAUUUAUUUGAAAGGGGCAAUUGCUCCACUACAAGAUGGACCUGCGUUGUAUUAGCUAGUAGGUGAGGUAAUGGCUCACCUAGGCGACGAUACAUAGCCGACCUGAGAGGGUGAUCGGCCACACUGGGACUGAGACACGGCCCAGACUCCUACGGGAGGCAGCAGUAGGGAAUCUUCGGCAAUGGGGGCAACCCUGACCGAGCAACGCCGCGUGAGGGAAGAAGGUUUUCGGAUCGUAAAGCUCUGUUGUAAGUCAAGAACGGGUGUGAGAGUGGAAAGUUCACACUGUGACGGUAGCUUACCAGAAAGGGACGGCUAACUACGUG